CCCUUCUCGACCACCUUACCCUGUAACCUUUUCCCUUGUCACCGAUUUUUUUAAUUUAUUUUUUAAUUUUAACUUUUAUUUUAAAUCUUCAUUACACGAUGCUUCAUUUCUGCAGAAUUGUUUACACCGGUUGACCGUCUUUGCUGCUAUACAGUAACAUGUUUACCACUACCGGAUCAACGGGGCUCUAUAAAGCCCCCUUUUCUAAAAGCCUGCUGAUCAUCCCAAGUGCCCUAGCCUUUUUGUUAGCAGUGCCAUUCUCACAGUACAAGAGCCUUUUUAUGUAUAACCUGCACACAAUCAAACAAGAAUUUCAGAUCUGGAGGUUAAUAUGCGGAAGGUGUAUUUGCCUGGACCUGACAGAUGCAUUCUGCAGCAGCCUCCUUAUCUACAAUUUCAGGAUUUUUGAAAGACGAUAUGGCAGCAGGAAAUUUGCAUCAUUCUUAUUGUGCUCUUGGGUUUUCUCUGCCUUAUUCGACACCCUGCUUGUUGAAGCUCUGCACUACGCAUGUGAUGUGAAAGUGAAUGUCCUACCAUCGGGGCUUUUGGCUCCUGUUUUUGCUUUGUUUGUGCCGUUCUACUGCUCCAUUCCAAGGGUUCAGGUGACUCAGGUCCUUGGGCAGUUCGCAAUUACCAACAAGUCCUUAGUCUACUUGGUGGGUCUUCAGCUUUUAACGUCAAGCUCUUUCAUGUGGAUCAUUGCCCUUAGUGGACUGACUUCUGGCAUGCUUUACCACAAAAAUAUUUUUAAAACGCAACAUGUUAUUUUCAUCCCCAAAUGGGUUGCCCGUUGUGGCUCUUACACCCUUGAGCCUCUCUUCUCCACCGCUGAGCCGACCCUCGAGUCUGCUGUUGGAAUGGGAGCCACACUGGACAUCCAACGGCAACAGAGAAUGGACCGGCUGGAUCAACAGGUGCUGCUUUCACAGCUCCCACAGAUGAGGAGGAAUACACAGCAGCAGGGAGGUCUUCUCAACUGGAAUAGGUUUUUCCCCUCUCUGCGUCAGAGGCGGAACGGUAACCAUCAAGCUGAUCCACGGCCGGCCCAAAACAAUCCUGCCAAUCCCCCCCAAGUGUCAGAAGAGCAGGUGGCAAGACUUAUGGAGAUGGGCUUUUCCAGAGUGGAUGCUUUGGAAGCACUAAGAGCUUCAAAUAAUGACAUUAAUAUUGCUACUAACUUUCUACUACAGCGCUGACAGCUGUUUCACAAAUGUGGUCAACAUGGUCACACAGUGCAAGAAGGAAUAACGUCACAUACCAAGUAGAGCUCCACCUCCAUUCCCCUCCCUUGCAAGCUGCAGGCUCCCACAAAGCGUUACAGUAUAUUGAGAGAGUCGCUCACUUCGGUUUCAUGGACGAUACGGAUUGAAGAUAAGUCUUUGAAAAUGUCCCUGAAUUACAAAAACGAGUGAAUAAUGUGUACGUUGGAAAUUCAGAAGUUCUCAGAGCAUGUCUCACACUCUCAUAAGCCUUACUAAUUGCUUGGACUCAACAGCCGCUGUGUUUCUCCAGAUUUAGAACUGUUGGAAGUAUCCAUUGCACUCUUCAGCAAGACAUAAAAGAAAACAAUCAGCCAAUAGGUGUAACUUUAACUGACCAGGAAGUAAAUAUUUAGACCUACUUCUAGACUAAGUGGUCCUCCACACUUAUUAGUAGUAACUAUAUUUAUAAUGUAUUGUGUUGUCGUACCUUUGUAAUACAAUAAUAUUUUUGGUUCACCUCCAUUUUUAGGAGGGUUUAUAACAAACUACAUUUAGGACAUAAGGCGCAAAAUAUUGUAAAAGCUGGCAUCAUACUGCCCAACAUGUCAGUAGUGGCAUACGUGAAUGUGGCAAUGUGCCCCGCCCCAGUGUGCAUUUGUGUGUUAUAUGUUGUAUGUUACGUGUGUUAAUGUUGGUGUAUAGAUAUGGCUGCACGGGAUAUAAAUGGGUGUGUGCAGCACAAGUUAUUUAAAAUGUAUAAUUGUAUUUAGGCACAAGGAUUGCACUUCAUGUGCAUUUAAAGUAUUUAAUAUGUGAGCAUGAGGUUGCACAUAAUUAAUUCACGUGCUGGGAUUCAAGUGAAUAAUUAAUUAGUAAUUGAAUUCCGGCACAACUGUAUAUAUAGAUGCACGUUUCACUCACUUGGGGUUGUGUGUUCGGUGAGUGGAGAACGAGUGUGGAGAAGGAGAAACUAAAAAGUAAAACUAAGGAAAAAGUAAAUAUAAGUUUGUUUGACUCACAGUGUUUAUUUGUCUAUUUAUUUUGGCCUCAAGUGCUGUGUCCUGUUUUCUGUUUAAACCUUUUAUUUUACAAUAAACUCACUGAGCGCAACAGCGUCUCAGAUUCACCACCAACU
Acipenser ruthenus (sterlet) is the source of this 2337-nucleotide RNA transcript. It is a transcript of the gene named ubiquitin-associated domain-containing protein 2-like, with no coding region annotated. NCBI's taxonomy places the organism in Eukaryota, Metazoa, Chordata, Actinopteri, Acipenseriformes, Acipenseridae. The transcript is spliced from 10 exons. The record is from RefSeq and is a predicted model, not a curated record.